This 317-nucleotide ribosomal RNA is filed under the name Lomentospora prolificans. Its description in RNAcentral is "Scedosporium prolificans Eukaryotic small subunit ribosomal RNA". It matches the Rfam family "Eukaryotic small subunit ribosomal RNA", at positions 1123 to 1462 of the family's 1831-position model. Lineage: Eukaryota; Fungi; Ascomycota; Sordariomycetes; Microascales; Microascaceae. The record is from Rfam by way of RNAcentral.
GUAUGGUCGCAAGGCUGAAACUUAAAGAAAUUGACGGAAGGGCACCACCAGGGGUGGAACCUGCGGCUUAAUUUGACUCAACACGGGGAAACUCACCAGGUCCAGACACAGUGAGGAUUGACAGAUUGAGAGCUCUUUCUUGAUUCUGUGGGUGGUGGUGCAUGGCCGUUCUUAGUUGGUGGAGUGAUUUGUCUGCUUAAUUGCGAUAACGAACGAGACCUUAACCUGCUAAAUAGCCCGUACUGCUUUGGCAGUUCGCCGGCUUCUUAGAGGGACUAUCGGCUCAAGCCGAUGGAAGUUUGAGGCAAUAACAGGUC